Molecule: long non-coding RNA, 838 nt
Organism: Silurus meridionalis
Lineage: Eukaryota; Metazoa; Chordata; Actinopteri; Siluriformes; Siluridae
Exons: 2
Source: RefSeq, a predicted model, not a curated record
AAUAAUGAUAUGAGCAUUUAGAGCAUCUAAACUAACAGCUUGACUUUAUGCAUGAGAAUGAUUCAGUUAUAAGCAGCUAAUAAGCUAUAAUUCAAAACAAAAUACAAUUCUUAUCCCUUCCAAUAUCUUACAGUGCGAUACCAUGUUGUGGUCAUCCCUACGCUAUUGCACUGCUAUCCAUGCACACAGACCAGGCAUAACGUUAUGACCACCUGCCUAAUAAUGUGUUGGUCCCCCUGCUAAAUCAGUUCUGACCCAUUGAGCAUUAAAAGCAUUAACUUCUUCAGCAAUUUGAGUUACAGGAGCUCGUCUGUUGGAUCGGACCACACGGACAAGCCUUCGCUCCCCACACGCGUCAAUUACCCUCGGCCGCCCACGGCCGUCUCACCGGUUCACCACUGUUCCUUCCUUGGACCACUUUAGAUAGAACUUGACAACUGCAGAUUGGGAACAGACCAUGAGAGCUGCAGUUUUGGAGAUGCUCUGAGCCAGUCGUCUAGACAUCACAAUUUGCCAAACUCGCUCAAAUCCUUAUGCUUGUCCAUUUUUCCUGCUGCUAGCACAUCAACUUUGAGAACAAAAUGUUCACUUGCUACCUAAUAGAUCCCUAUAACUAACAGGUGCCAUGAUGAUCAGAUAAUCAGGUGUUGUUUACAUCACUUGUCAUAUUGUCAAUGUCAAUGUUUUGCCUGGUCUGUGUAUAUACAAUCCAUCAAUGUGAUUGGACGAGUAAUGUUACAAAAGUGCUUAUAUUUAAUAUAAUCUCAAUGGAAUCAUCUUUAACAGGAAUGUAGAACUAGUAAGCCAGCAUGCUGUAAGCAGAGUGUAACUUAAUAAA